AGUAUAAAUUUAGAGUAUAGUUUUUUUUACUCCUGAUACCAUCUUUAAUGCUUUUAAGCUAAGGAGGGUAACUUAGGAAGGUCCUGUAUAGUCACAGACUUAAGACAGCUUGGGAGAGUAACAUGCAAUCCACACUAUGAUUUAGGUCACCAGAAUUUCUGUAGCGUAUUAUGUACUAAGUCCUCUGAUAGGCUCUGUGGCUCUUGAGGCCCGUCUCUUUGAGGAGUUUGUCUGUCCAGUAGGGGAGAUAGACAGACCAGCAAGUAGACACAACAGGAUCUGAUACGUGUAGUAGUAUAGGUAUGAACAAAGUACAGAGAUAGAAAGUAGCAAAGAAGAGGGGAUGACUAAGUUAUUUGGGAAGUGUAUUAGUUUCCUUUUGCUGCUGUGACAAAUUACCAUAAACUUAGAUGCUUACAACAUCACAAAUUUAUUCUCUUACAGUUCCAGGGGUCAGAAGUCCAAAAUGAGUCUUCUGGAGCUAAAAUCAAAGUGUUAGCAGGGCUGGUUUCUUCUGAGGGCUCCAUGGGGAGAAUUCAUUCCUUUGCCUCUUCUACCUUCUAGAAGCUGCCGGCAUCCCUCACCUGGUGGUCCCAUCACUCUAAUCUCUGGUUCCAUCACCACAGUGCCUUCUCCUCCUCUGCUCUCCUGCCUCCUCUUAUAAGGAGCUUUGUGAUUACAUUGGACCCACCCCCCAGAUAAUCCAGGAUAAUCUCCUCAUCUCAAAAUCCUUAACUUAAAUCUGCAAAGCCCUUUUGCCAUGUAAGGUAACGAGUCAAUAAAUUCUAGGAAUCUACUCACCAACAUUCAGUCUAUCACAGCAGGAUAGGGGGAGGGGAGUUCAGUGAAACUUCUUCUCAGGUGUCAAGCAAAGGAUGGUGGAGCCUUUUGCUGUGUCUGGACCAGGUCUUGCCACUCUGCGUCUUGCGAAUCUGACCUGCCACAGAUUCCCACACUUCAGCUGCUGCUGCCCGCCCUGCUGUCCUUCUUACCUCUGGAAGCGGCGUCAGCCCCCCAGCUCCUCCAAGGUCAUGGGGGCCUAUGAGGCUGGAGCUGCCCAAUGGUCCAAAAAUUGGCUAGCAAUCUACCUUAGAAGCAUACUACCAAAUACCACCUUUCUCAGGCUCCACCAUCGGAGAGAUUGGAUGGAAGACCAGAGGCUGGGGGAGGAAGACGGGCCUGCUACUGUUCCUGUCUGCACUGCCCCGGGAAAAGCCUACAUCCUGGCACCAGCAGGUCAGUUCUGGUGACCUCAACCUCUCCCCUUCGUCUCCCAGCUCUAGAAGUCCCAGAUGCUUCCUGCAGUGACCAUCUUUAUGUGAAUCCUGUGUUACAUCAGUGUUCCCUUUUUGCUUUUCUGUGCUUCAACAGCUAUUUCAUCAAUUCCCUAUGGUAAAUUCUUUCUAUUAAAGUAACUCGUGUG
Molecule: long non-coding RNA, 1423 nt
Filed under: Equus caballus (horse)
Lineage: Eukaryota; Metazoa; Chordata; Mammalia; Perissodactyla; Equidae
Description: lncRNA (ENSECAG00000056985.1)
Source: RNAcentral